UUAAACUAAGAGAGUAAGGGUAGAGCUUUAUUUUCAAUAAUAGAUAGAAGACGAGAUUAUAAAUUUAUUAUAAAAAAAAUUAGGCUUUUUAGUGGCCAUAUUUUUAAAGUAUUUUAACUAUUAAAAUAAUAAAAAAUUUGUUUUAUUUCUCUUAAAUAUUUAGUAAAAUAUUUUUUAUAUUAAAAUAAAAUUAGUAAUAAUGAAAAUAUUAGUAGAUUAAGAUUAUUAAAAUUCUAAGAUUAAAUUAAAAAUAUAUUUUAAUUAAAUUGAUAGGAAAAUUAAAGGAAUUCGGCAAAUUUUUUUCUUGCCUGUUUAACAAAAACAU
This 325-nucleotide ribosomal RNA is filed under the name Paramunida thalie. Its description in RNAcentral is "partial 16S ribosomal RNA". The record is from RNAcentral. Lineage: Eukaryota; Metazoa; Arthropoda; Malacostraca; Decapoda; Munididae.